UACGUAGGGUGCAAGCGUUAAUCGGAAUUACUGGGCGUAAAGGGUGCGCAGGCGGUUCUGUAAGUCAGAUGUGAAAUCCCCGGGCUUAACCUGGGAACUGCGUUUGAAACUACAGGACUAGAGUGUGGCAGAGGGAGGUGGAAUUCCAUGUGUAGCAGUGAAAUGCGUAGAGAUAUGGAAGAACAUCGAUGGCGAAGGCAACCUCCUGGGUUAACACUGACGCUCAUGCACGAAAGCGUGGGGAGCAAACAGG
RNAcentral lists this ribosomal RNA (253 nucleotides) under uncultured Nitrosomonas sp. RNAcentral describes it as "partial 16S ribosomal RNA". It matches the Rfam family "Bacterial small subunit ribosomal RNA", at positions 524 to 776 of the family's 1533-position model. Lineage: Bacteria; Pseudomonadati; Pseudomonadota; Betaproteobacteria; Nitrosomonadales; Nitrosomonadaceae. The record is from RNAcentral.